Molecule: long non-coding RNA, 258 nt
Organism: Ceratina calcarata
Lineage: Eukaryota; Metazoa; Arthropoda; Insecta; Hymenoptera; Apidae
Exons: 2
Source: RefSeq, a predicted model, not a curated record
GGCAAAACUUAUUCACAGUUACCGAGGACAUCGCGCUCAGGAUCGAUUCGUAUUAUUAAUAAAAAGAAAAACUAUUAUUUAUCGUUAAACAUGAAUGAACAUUACUUGGUAUCACGCGACAAAUUGCUACCCGCACAGUGUUCGCAAAUUGACUUGAGAAAACUUCCUAUAUAUUUUCAUCUCUCGCAACGCGAAAUUACUUUCAUGAACGAAUGAUAUUUACAUUAAAAAACGAAGAACCGUGAAACUUUGCGCAUA